GUCCCCGUGUUAUUUGCGGCGCGUCUGCCAAGCGUCGUGAUUGUCACAGGGGACACACAGCAUUCGCCAAUAACUCGUUAUUGUGCACCACUAACGCCGCCGUGCCGGUGCACAUCUCCAUAUAUUGGCCACAUUU
Molecule: small nucleolar RNA, 136 nt
Filed under: Drosophila grimshawi
Lineage: Eukaryota; Metazoa; Arthropoda; Insecta; Diptera; Drosophilidae
Description: snoRNA:GH25831
Source: RNAcentral